This 229-nucleotide ribosomal RNA is filed under the name uncultured bacterium. Its description in RNAcentral is "partial 16S ribosomal RNA". It matches the Rfam family "Bacterial small subunit ribosomal RNA", at positions 568 to 796 of the family's 1533-position model. The record is from RNAcentral.
UGCGUAGGCGGAUUAAUAAGUCAGUGGUGAAAACCUGCAGCUUAACUGCAGACCUGCCAUUGAUACUGUUAGUCUUGAGUACGGUCAAGGUAGGCGGAAUGUGUAAUGUAGCGGUGAAAUGCUUAGAUAUUACACAGAACACCGAUUGCGAAGGCAGCUUACUGGGCCAUUACUGACGCUGAGGCACGAAAGCGUGGGGAGCGAACAGGAUUAGAUACCCUGGUAGUCC